Molecule: ribosomal RNA, 150 nt
Filed under: Ipomoea nil (Japanese morning glory)
Lineage: Eukaryota; Viridiplantae; Streptophyta; Magnoliopsida; Solanales; Convolvulaceae
Description: 5.8S ribosomal RNA
Rfam family: 5.8S ribosomal RNA
About the family: 5.8S ribosomal RNA (5.8S rRNA) is a component of the large subunit of the eukaryotic ribosome.
Source: Rfam by way of RNAcentral
CGCUCUCAGCAAGAUUUAUCUCGCUCUCGCAUCGAUGAAGAACGUACAAAUGCGAUACUUGGUGUGAAUUGCAGAAUCCCGUGAACCAUCGAGCUCUUGAACGCAGUUGCUGCCCGAAGCGUUAGCGAGGGCACAGGCUGCGCUGCGUCA